This 253-nucleotide ribosomal RNA is filed under the name uncultured bacterium. RNAcentral's name for it is "partial 16S ribosomal RNA". It matches the Rfam family "Bacterial small subunit ribosomal RNA", at positions 524 to 776 of the family's 1533-position model. The record is from RNAcentral.
UACGUAGGGGGCAAGCGUUAUCCGGAUUUACUGGGUGUAAAGGGCGCGUAGGCGGCAUGGUAAGUCAGAUGUGAAAACUUGGGGCUCAACUUCAAGAUUGCAUCUGAAACUGCUGAGCUAGAGUGCAGGAGAGGAAAGUGGAAUUCCGAGUGUAGCGGUGAAAUGCGUAGAGAUUCGGAGGAACACCAGUAGCGAAGGCGACUUUCUGGACUGUAACUGACGCUGCGGCACGCAAGCGUGGGGAGCUAACAGG